Molecule: ribosomal RNA, 1006 nt
Filed under: Lophiotrema lincangensis
Lineage: Eukaryota; Fungi; Ascomycota; Dothideomycetes; Pleosporales; Lophiotremataceae
Description: SSU rRNA
Rfam family: Eukaryotic small subunit ribosomal RNA
Source: RNAcentral
CGAAUGGCUCAUUAAAUCAGUUAUCGUUUAUUUGAUAGUACCUUACUACUUGGAUAACCGUGGUAAUUCUAGAGCUAAUACAUGCUAAAAACCCCAACUUCGGGAGGGGUGUAUUUAUUAGAUAAAAAACCAAUGCCCUUCGGGGCUCUUUGGUGAUUCAUGAUAACUUAACGGAUCGCAUGGCCUUGCGCCGGCGACGGUUCAUUCAAAUUUCUGCCCUAUCAACUUUCGAUGGUAAGGUAUUGGCUUACCAUGGUUUCAACGGGUAACGGGGAAUUAGGGUUCGAUUCCGGAGAGGGAGCCUGAGAAACGGCUACCACAUCCAAGGAAGGCAGCAGGCGCGCAAAUUACCCAAUCCCGACUCGGGGAGGUAGUGACAAUAAAUACUGAUACAGGGCUCUUUUGGGUCUUGUAAUCGGAAUGAGUACAAUUUAAACCCCUUAACGAGGAACAAUUGGAGGGCAAGUCUGGUGCCAGCAGCCGCGGUAAUUCCAGCUCCAAUAGCGUAUAUUAAAGUUGUUGCAGUUAAAAAGCUCGUAGUUGAACCUUGGGCCUGGCUGGCCGGUCCGCCUCACCGCGUGUACUGGUCCGGCCGGGCCUUUCCUUCUGGAGAGCCGCAUGCCCUUCACUGGGUGUGUCGGGGAACCAGGACUUUUACUUUGAAAAAAUUAGAGUGUUCAAAGCAGGCCUUUGCUCGAAUACGUUAGCAUGGAAUAAUAGAAUAGGACGUGCGGUCCUAUUUUGUUGGUUUCUAGGACCGCCGUAAUGAUUAAUAGGGAUAGUCGGGGGCAUCAGUAUUCAAUUGUCAGAGGUGAAAUUCUUGGAUUUAUUGAAGACUAACUACUGCGAAAGCAUUUGCCAAGGAUGUUUUCAUUAAUCAGUGAACGAAAGUUAGGGGAUCGAAGACGAUCAGAUACCGUCGUAGUCUUAACCGUAAACUAUGCCGACUAGGGAUCGGGCGAUGUUUCUAUCUUGACUCGCUCGGCACCUUACGAGAAAUCAUAAG